UGCCCGGGCCCCGAUUGGCGCCGCGCGGCGCCGCCCGGCCCCCGGUAUAAGGCGGUGGCGCGGGCGGGGAAGGAGCUCCUGCGGCCGCGGCGAGGCUGGGUAAGAGCGAGAAGGAAGACUUGCCAGACAAGAUCCAAAACCAGUGUGACCUUCACCUUUCUAAUACGGUGACUCAGAAACACUGCGUAGAGGACUCCUAGCCAGAGCUGUUUGGUCAAGGAGUUUGAAGAUGCAUCGAGACUGAUAGUGAGGACAGAGCAAUCUCCUAAAGAAGAGCACAGCCUGAACUAUUGGCCAUGUCUAUCACAGAUCACAGCCCCACCACCGGAGUUGUGACUGUCAUCGUUAUCCUGAUCGCCAUCGCGGCUCUGGGAGCCCUGAUCCAGGGCUGCUGGUGCUACCUGCGGCUGCAGAAGCUCAGCCAGUCUGAGGAUGAGGAAAGCAUUGUGGGUGAGGGAGAAACCAAAGAGCCCUUUCUGCUGGUGCAGUACUCUGCUAAAGGACCCUGUGUGGAGAGGAAAGCAAAGCUAACUCCAAACAGCCCUGAAGUACACAGCUAACUUGGAGCAACAUGUGCAGAUGGACUAUAUGCUCGUGACAUGUGUAACUAGCAGAAGCAUUUCAAUACUGUGAAGAACUUGGUCAUGUGCACAUUACUCAUCAGAAAACACCCUGAUGAGAAUUAAAUAAGCUUUGUUUGCAACUGCAUGCACUGAGAGGUUGCACUUUGCAUCGACUGCGUAUCCUAAUUCCUCUAUGGCAGGAGCUGACUCGCCUGGUGUAAUGUCCAUUGCUGGCAAUGGGCACAGGAAUAUACUGUGUGAAGAGACUACUACUGUUUUUUGUUACUUGAAUGUUUAGCUGAGCCUAUUUUGAUAGAGCUACUACUGUAAUGUGAACUACUUCAGAACUGUAAACUGUAUAUAGCUGCCAGAAACUUCUUGCUUUGUGUUCUGUAGCAUAUGGGAAUAUGAUGCAACUACAUAUAAUACACAGGGGACUCCAGACCAUCAAAACUGAAUCUGCAGUUAAAACUUUCUUCUGCUACUAGAUUGAGUAUGCAAAUACUAAGUCAGAACUCAUCCUUUAAGCAGUUUAUUGGGCUGAUGCAGAGUACUUAAUUUGAAAAGAAGGGAUAAGCCUUCAGUAAUAUGCUGAAUGAAGAAACAUAGGAGCUACAAGAAAGGAAGAGUUCCUUUAGCUGCAGCUAUGUUGGUUAAGCUUUUGGCUGCUAGAACUGAGUUCUGUGUGUAGCUACUGCAAGGAAACUGCCAUUUUGAUGGGUUCCAACCUGGGAACUUAUGAUGGAUACUGAACCCUCAGGGAAUGUCCAGAAGGUUUCCAGGUGUUUGAAAUGGCAGUAGAGCAGGCUUGUCUUCCAUAGGCCAGUCUGUGUGCUAAAACUGCAGAAGUGUUUACUUAGCAAAACUGGCUUAAGUGCAAGUAGAAUGAAUUCUUCCUAGAACCCUGGUUUGUGUACUUAGGGUGUAUGUUAACAGCCUGUUACAAAAAGGCAUUUUAGUCUACAGCCAGACAACUCUAGAAUUCAGUUAAUGUACCUUGUAUAUAACUUUUGGUUUAACUGUUCUACAACAGGAGAAGUUUCAGUCUUUUCUACUGUUGAUAGGGACAAGGUUAUUGCUGGUCAGUUUGUAAAAGCUUUUAGCUAGCAAUGGCCAAGUCCUUCCAGAUAACAUGCAUUUCCUGCUCUGUGCUGAAGUUCAGCUAUGGGAACUGUAAAAAGGUGACGAAUGGGAAGUUCUGGACUGCAAUGGUUUGGGGGGGAGGAGAAGGAACAACACUGAGCAGCCAAUGGCAGCUUACAUAUUCCAAAACUGUGUAGGCACACCUGCUUAGAGGUCACUGGCCUGUUUUCUAUUACUUGAUACAUGGCCUCCUUUGCAUACUGAAAUUUUUAAACACUUAAUUGCCUAGCCUUAAUUCCAGAGGAAGCAUUAGACUUGCUUCUUGUACCUGUACAUAUGGAAUUACUUAAGGCCUAGCAAGCUUGCUUGACUAUAUGCAAGACAAGAACUGUCUAGACAAAAAGUCGUCCCCUUCUUCUACACUAAGAUGUUGAAUUGCUUUGUUAGUGGUACAUUUGCUUUUUUAAAAUUGAAAGCUGUCAUUUGAAGCAAAAGAAAUGCUGUCAGAAGCAAAAAAGUAGCAAAAAGCUCCUGCUGUUGCCUUUUGAGUACAACAUAUCGGGUACAGCUGGUAAUGUUCUUACCCUGACACAUGCUUUUUAAGAUACUGCUCUCAAGCGAUUUGCAUGUAUAGUCAGACCUGUACACUUAAAUUGCUGUAUUUGACAUGUCUUAAAAGCAAAGAAAAAAAGAUUAAUUCAGUGAGACUUCCUCUAGUUUUCAGUAGAGAACGUUCACACACAGCUCUUGUGGUUUCCAGACAGUCAGAAUACCAGUAUACAAAAGUGAUACAAAGUGCUGAAGUUCUAGGACAGAACAGUAGUUGCAAGAUGACUUUGUCCAUUCAAGUUUACUGAUUACACAGAUGAAAUACCUAUUUUAAUUCAGCAAAGAGAAUGCAGUGUAAAGGGCAAACUUCAGAAAUUAUGGAAAAGUAUAAAUCAAAGGUCUGAUUUUCCUUCUAGCAGCUGUAAGAGAAAACUAGUGAAAACUAACUGGUCCUUAGUCAGGGGCAGCAGUGUACAGCGCCUCUACAAACCAGUAUCUUUAAUUUAAAUGGAUAGGUGUUUGCAAGUUAGUGCAAUAGUAAAGUGCAGAAAGUGUUUUCCAUUCUUUUCUUAAGAUGGGGCUAUCUAAUAAGUUGUUCAAGUAUACAAAAAUAUUCCAUUUGAUUUUUCUUUUUCCAGAUCAUGUGGGGGAAGAAGUCUUUAUUUACAAUGAAUGUCAAUAAAAUUUGCAUAAAUACCUACCCAAUACUGCAUCAUUUGACUUUGUGUAAGAAUUAGUCUGUCCUAUUUCCACUACUGUGCUCUGUCUCUAUGGUAUCAAUAUUAUCAAUCCUUUUUUCCUCUAAAGCAGCAGUAGCUGUUGAAAGUGAUAUAUCAUUAUCUUCAGAAAGUGUUUGCUCAGAUUGAAGGGAUUCUUUAAUUUCGUCUUUGCUUUGUAGCUUUCCUCCUCUUGAUGCCACCAGAAUUCUCAGUAAAGCAUUUUCUUUAAGGAGGUUUUCUGAUGCAUCAGCUAAUUCUUGAAGCUUUUCAGCCAUUUCUAACAAUUCUUGAUUCUUCUGGUCAUAUGUGGCCUGUAACUGCUCACUGUGGAGCUGCAGAGUCUUGUGCUGCUUUUCCAGUGUGUGUUUUUGCUGCUGUAGUCUCUGCUCCUCUCUCCUGGCUUCAGAAAGCUGUGCUUCAAGCUGGUCAUGGGCCUGAUGAAGGGCACUGAUUUCUGAUCUUAACUUCUGAAUUUCUCUUUCUAAGUGUGAGAUGUGUCCUUGCUGUAGAACUGACUCUUUAUGUAGGCAUUCUUUGGUACAAGGCUCUGAUGAAGAAAGACUUGAGUGAUGUAAAAUAAAUUUCAGGAGAUUAGGAAGGUUAACUGAAAAGUCUUCAGGGAACUUCACACUUUGCUCCUUCCUAGAAGGACAGAACAAGUUAAUAGUAAAAUACUCAGGGAGAUUAAGGAUAAUUUUACCUAAGCAUGUGCUGUUCAACUUGAUACGUUAUUUUUUUAUCAGGUUAAGUACAACAGCUAGGAGAUACCUAAACUCAUGUAAUAAAAGAUAAAGCACACAGAUUUUCUUCUGAUGAACAUUUUUUCCUGUGUUCCAGUCUGGGUGCUGUAAGCAUCUCUGCAUGGGACUGGUAUUUGAAGAAAAAAAUUCUAUUAAAUCUCAGAAAAUACAUUUUACUCUUAAAAAAUGAUCAUGAGUUAUGAGCUUCAAGUACAUAGGGCAGCAUCACUGUGAGAUCAGAGCACAGUGCCAUUAGUCUCUGUAACUGAAGGAUGACAUUUAAAUGUUCCUAAGUCUACAUAUAUUAUUAGAAUUUAAGUCCAGGUAUAUAAAGCUAUCCCAUGUGCAAUGACUAUUUGGAACCUGUUUUCCUGGAAGCAGUAGCUUAGUGAGUUCCAGCACCUGAAAGCCAUGGCAACUGAGCUCUUUAAAAGACUAAGUCACUUUAGUCAGAAGUAAGGCCCUUUUGCUGUUAGGAAAAAAAAAACCAAAAACAAAACAACUCUUUACUUGUUCCUCUUACUGUUUUGUCUUUACUUCAGAGGUGAUGAAGGAAGCAAACCAAACAAGGGUUUUCUGUUGGUGCUUUCCCCCCUGAAGCUGUGAAUACUAAGCCCAGCAUAUUACCAGCAGCACAGCCACUUCCACCUCACUCUGUACAACUGGGAAGCCAGCUAAUAGUUUAACAGUUUGGAUCUGCUCCAGCUUUGCCAGUUAGCAGUUAUUCUCUCUUUGCUGAGGCAGCCAUCAAAACAAGGAAGAAAAGCUCAGUUUGCUUCCCUCUGGCUGUCAAAUUCAUGACUAGAGUAAUGAAAAAUACAUUCAAUACUGCAACUGCUCUCAACCAGCAAUUAACCCCCAGUUGCUCACUGCGUACACACAGUGCACACAUUCCUUCUGAGAUCUCCAGAUUUGGAAUAUAUAUGCAUGAUUAAAUAGUAACUGAAAGGAUAGUAAUAGUAACUGAAAUAAAAAGCACAAAACCCAAUAAAUCAGAGACUCCUUGAUAAUAUAUGUAGAAGCAAAAGUUUUCUGGAUGUUGAAAUGAUGGAACAGAAAUGUACUGAGUCUUACUCUGCAGAGAAACCCUCAUCAUACUCAGGAAAUCCUGUGACCUAAAAAAUGUUCGAGACAGAAAGUACUGGAAGCACAAAGGGGAAGGAAAUUUUUAUGUUCUCAUUCUGAUCUUAAUAUUUCUUAAGUAUCCUUUUAUGGUCACUGAGGUUUUUGUUUGUUUUUCCAGACUCUCUUCCUGGGGGUUGGGAUAGAGACAGGAUACAGAGCUGCAUGUGAUCCUUAAAAAGAACAUGGUUAUUUAUUCUAUGUUGUGCAUAUUUUUGUACUUCGAUUUAUGGCAAAAAGGAAAUGUAAUUGGUGCUGUAAGAAUUAUAGUGAUAUAUGUUAUUGAGCAAUUUAUCUUAAUAGCCAAAUUUUCAUCCAUGUUUACUUACAUAGCUAACAUUAGGAAACCCAGUAUUUUCUGAAGGUAGACUCAGUUUUUGCACAUCAGCAUGACAGGCAAAUGCACAUGGUUAGGAAUAUUUUGUCUUAUUCACAAAUGUGAAAAUAAAUCAGAACUGCAAUCCUUGA
RNA transcript from Oenanthe melanoleuca, 5244 nucleotides. It is a transcript of the gene named stannin, with no coding region annotated. The transcript is spliced from 6 exons. The record is from RefSeq and is a predicted model, not a curated record. Lineage: Eukaryota; Metazoa; Chordata; Aves; Passeriformes; Muscicapidae.